This is a non-coding RNA of Cinara cedri, 241 nucleotides long. The record is from the annotation of a GenBank genome assembly. NCBI's taxonomy places the organism in Eukaryota, Metazoa, Arthropoda, Insecta, Hemiptera, Aphididae.
AUUAUUAUUAUUAUUAUUACGGUUUCCGGGCCGUGUGUAGCUGGUACCUACAACGAGCCGGGCGACCUGCAGUUUCCGCGGGGUCCGUGGCGAGGCGGUCCGCGAACGGUGUUCCGACGGUUCGCGAGCGCGGGUACUCCUCGACAACGCCAACGCCGCCGCAAUAACAAUAACGGCAGACGCACUCGAAAAUAAUAAUUUCGAACACUUGUCGCGCGGUUGAAUAUUUCCCUCGCCGCCG